AUUGAACGCUGGCGGCAUGCUUUACACAUGCAAGUCGAACGGCAGCGCGGGCUUCGGCCUGGCGGCGAGUGGCGAACGGGUGAGUAAUGCAUCGGAACGUGCCCAGUAGUGGGGGAUAGCCCGGCGAAAGCCGGAUUAAUACCGCAUACGACCUGAGGGUGAAAGCGGGGGACCGAAAGGCCUCGCGCUAUUGGAGCGGCCGAUGUCGGAUUAGCUAGUUGGUGGGGUAAAGGCUUACCAAGGCGACGAUCCGUAGCUGGUCUGAGAGGACGACCAGCCACACUGGGACUGCGACACGGCCCAGACUCCUACGGGGGGCAGCAGUGGGGAAUUUUGGACAAUGGGGGCAACCCUGAUCCAGCCAUGCCGCGUGCGGGAAGAAGGCCUUCGGGUUGUAAACCGCUUUUGUUCGGGAAGAAAUCCUCUGGGCUAAUACCCCGGGGGGAUGACGGUACCGGAAGAAUAAGCACCGGCUAACUACG
This 482-nucleotide ribosomal RNA is filed under the name uncultured bacterium. RNAcentral describes it as "partial 16S ribosomal RNA". It matches the Rfam family "Bacterial small subunit ribosomal RNA", at positions 28 to 505 of the family's 1533-position model. The record is from RNAcentral.